GGGCGACCAUAGCGUUGCGGACCCACCUGAACCCAUCAAAAGGGGUCAGAAGUGAAACGCAGUAGCGCCGAUGGUAGUGUGGGGUUUCCCCAUGUGAGAGUAGGACAUCGCCAGGCU
Molecule: ribosomal RNA, 117 nt
Filed under: Vibrio tapetis subsp. tapetis
Lineage: Bacteria; Pseudomonadati; Pseudomonadota; Gammaproteobacteria; Vibrionales; Vibrionaceae
Source: RNAcentral